Non-coding RNA from Peromyscus maniculatus bairdii (prairie deer mouse), 2764 nucleotides. Lineage: Eukaryota; Metazoa; Chordata; Mammalia; Rodentia; Cricetidae. The record is from RefSeq and is a predicted model, not a curated record.
UUUCUGAAUGUUUGGGAAUGCAGUACUGAAGUCAGACUACUCCUAACCCCCCUCUGCCUUCAUUAUACAACUUUUAUUGAAAACUUACUGGGUGCAGAAAAAAAUGAUCCUAUUGUUGAAAGAGUAGAAGAAACAUUUGUGAGAAAUAAAAUGAGAUGUAGGCUUGCUGGGGCAAUGAAUACACACGACACAGGUUGAAGUUAGCUACAAAGGUACGCUGUGGACAAGCCAGACCACGGUACGUGAGCAAGCGGCUGAAACAGAACUGGCUGCCCAAGGACCGGGUUUGGAAGAACAGGAAGCAGCAGCUUAGAUAGCAGUUAACUGGUGUGGGAGUCCGGCCUGCCAGCGGCUGCUCUCAGCUCAGCUUCUUCUCCCUGGUGACCUCUGGUAACGUCACAGGUAGUGAAAAGUGCUACAGCUGGUGAGUGGCUUGAUCCUGUGUAUGACAGAAAAUAGGCAAUAUUUAUCUUUCUGAGAAAAUGCCACUUUUGAGUAAGAAACACUCAUCCUUUUUCUACCAUAAUGAGCGAUUCUUUAUUAUGAACAAAAAGCUCUAGACAUUUCCAAAAUAAUGCUCCCUGGACUUUUAACUGGACAAGGCUCUGAUAUUAUUACUCUAUUUGUUGGACUACAAUGACCUCUUUGUUCCGCUGCCCACUCUAAGCCCAAUUACUGAGGACGCCAUGAAGAAUAAUUACACCUGUGUGCCACAACCUCACACAUUGUUAACGUGUUUUUAAUCAUCAGACACUCUCACACUCUCACGGACUGCUGAAACUAAAGAGUUAAUUCCCACCACAGCAUUGUCCUCUCUCACAGGAAGCACAGGGACCUGGCCUAGGAGCAUGGCAUCACCACAGAGUCCCACAUCGACAAGUGGCCGAGUGCAGUACGCUGCUGUGGGGAGCAUCCCGGAGGACCCCGGCCGCUAUGGCCCGGAGGCAGGAAAGAAAGUCGUGAGGGUGAACAGGAGGGAGGGGGACCAGGCCAUGAGGUGAAUUCUGCAGCAUUUGAAGGUGUCUGAGCUAGCAAGGCAGCUCCUCUGGGAAGGGACAGUGGUACAGAGAGAAAGCAGGAAGUGGAUCAGCUGGACCGUGCCCUUCAGAACAGGUCUAGCAGGAAAUGCUCCAAAGACACUGAGCACUAAGCUUUCCUAUCCAAGCACCUUCCCUCCCAAUACCAAAUCUACACAGAAAACCACAAGAGAGAUGCCACUAAUGCUUCCAAGGACUGUUUGUGCAAAUUUCCUCUUUGGUCUCACAAGUGAGCAUUUGUCUACUUAACAAGAUAGACCAUCAGCGCGGCAUGACAUUAAACUAUCCAAACCUGCACUCCAUAUUUGGGCAGUCGGGCCUCGUGUCUUGGUGUCCAUCUUUCCACCUCUCCACCCUGUAUUUAGGAGGAAACUGUGAAGUCCUAACAAUGUCAGCCCCUGUAGGCUGAGCUGGAGCCCAGACACCAGGACCAAGGCUGUGCCAGGCUCUAUCUGCUGCCCCAUUCUGCUACUAAAAAGGAAAAUAUUUUUCUGACAGCCAAUGACUCACAGCGGAGAGAAAUGGUGGGGGAGGGGUUUCCUCUUCUGGAGGUCAUUGAGCGACAAUAAACCUAAUCUGUGAAGGACAGAGGUGGCGUGAGUAAUGCCAGGAAGCAGGCAGAAGACGUUUAGGGAAUCCGCCUUCUGACCGAGCACCGAGGAGAGGAAUACGGACUUACUCUACACCCUGCGAUUCUGGGAGCGGAGCAGCAAGAUUCAAAGUGUCAACCACAAGGCUGACCUGGCAGCCAGCAGGAGCUUCUGUACCUUUAACUCUCCCUUGACUUUAAUUUCUCCACCCAUCCGUGACUAGUUGCUGAGGGAAAACUCAACAACUCAGAGAGGGUCUAGGCAGACUUAAGCAAUGCUCCCCUCCCCCAGAUUCAAAACAUUUACCCACCAGAAGCCUCAAAGCUGGGUUUGGGGUUGGCUUGCCUUAUGUCCUGAAUGCUCCUGUCGGCCCAGGUCUUCCUGUGGCUGACACUGCCUGAGGAAGGCAUCUUGAACCCGUGUUAGCCCCACUGCCUGUCAGUCACUGCUCUCAACUUCCACCCCAGCGUUAGCUGCUUCAAACCAGUGCCGGUGGUCUCCUUGGCUCAGGGACACCUCCGGGAUCCCACUGGCCACUUGGAUAAUUUGGGCAUCAAAAUAAUAUCAUUAAUGAUAAUAACCAACUGAUAAGUAUCUGUGAGUAGUCCAUAAUGGUAGAGAAGAGUGCCAGCUAAUGACCACGGUGAGGAUUAUGGGAACAGAAAAUUACCAUACAGCAACCAUCCCCGCGGUGGCUGAUGGAGACAGGAAUGGCUGGGGAGGCUGGUGGAUGGAAUACUUCCUACCAAAGAUGAGAAGACUGCUGUGGUCUCAGAAAACCUCACGACAAAACUGAUGGUUCCAGUGAGGAAGCCAACGGUGAACUACGCUGGCAUCCUGCCCCUGUAAGAUGCACUGAGAUAGAGGAGUCACUUUUGCCAAGUGAGAUACAGACUGGAGUCUAGAAACAUCCGUGGGUCCCACCUGAAGGACAACUCUACAGUGCCAAAGGACUUUCGUCUGGGAAUCCUCCAAGUCACAAAGAAAGGAAACAUAACUGACAGAGACUGGAUUACUUAACGAGAUGAAUUUCAAUUCCUUCCUCCUUUCCUCCUGUCAUCCCUCUGACUCUUCCUUCCCUUCCUUUCCACUUAUUUGCUUAUUUAUAAUUUUUUUUUAAAUUUAUUCUGUAUAUAG